Molecule: ribosomal RNA, 755 nt
Filed under: uncultured bacterium
Lineage: Bacteria
Description: bacterial SSU rRNA
Rfam family: Bacterial small subunit ribosomal RNA
Source: RNAcentral
AGAGUUUGAUCCUGGCUCAGAAUCAACGCUGGCGGCGCGCUUAACACAUGCAAGUCGAACGGGAAAGUGGGCAACCAUGAGUACAGUGGCGUACGGGUGAGUAACACGUGGGUGAUCUACCUCUUAGUGGGGAAUAACCCUGGGAAACCGGGGCUAAUACCGCAUAAGCUCGAGAGAGGAAAGCAGCAAUGCGCUGAGAGAGGAGCCCGCGGCCGAUUAGCUAGUUGGUAGGGUAAGAGCCUACCAAGGCAGAGAUCGGUAGCCGGCCUGAGAGGGCACACGGCCACACUGGCACUGAAACACGGGCCAGACUCCUACGGGAGGCAGCAGUGGGGAAUCUUGCACAAUGGGGGCAACCCUGAUGCAGCGACGCCGCGUGAGCGAUGAAGCCCUUCGGGGUGUAAAGCUCUUUCGGCAGGGAAGAUGAUGACGGUACCUGCAGAAGCAGCUGCGGCUAACUACGUGCCAGCAGCCGCGGUAAUACGUAGGCAGCGAGCGUUGUUCGGAGUUACUGGGCGUAAAGGGUGUGUAGGCGGUCUUUUAAGUUUGGUGUGAAAUCUCCCGGCUCAACCGGGAGGGUGCGCCGAAUACUGAGAGACUUGGAGUGCGGGAGAGGAAAGUGGAAUUCCUGGUGUAGCGGUGAAAUGCGUAGAUAUCAGGAGGAACACCGGUGGUGUAGACGGCUGUCUGGACCGUAACUGACGCUGAGACACGAAAGCGUGGGUAGCAAACAGGAUUAGAUACCCUAGUAGUCC